GCCGGGAUGGAGGAACAUGGCAGACUCGAUGGACUCAAAAUCCAUUGCCCGAAAGGGCGUGAGGGUUCGAAUCCCUCUCCCGGCA
Molecule: transfer RNA, 85 nt
Filed under: Actinomycetes bacterium
Lineage: Bacteria; Bacillati; Actinomycetota; Actinomycetes
Also listed under: 1 other name
Description: Actinobacteria bacterium tRNA-Leu
Rfam family: tRNA
About the family: Transfer RNA (tRNA) molecules are approximately 80 nucleotides in length. Their secondary structure includes four short double-helical elements and three loops (D, anti-codon, and T loops). Further hydrogen bonds mediate the characteristic L-shaped molecular structure. tRNAs have two regions of fundamental functional importance: the anti-codon, which is responsible for specific mRNA codon recognition, and the 3' end, to which the tRNAs corresponding amino acid is attached (by aminoacyl-tRNA synthetases). tRNAs cope with the degeneracy of the genetic code in two manners: having more than one tRNA (with a specific anti-codon) for a particular amino acid; and 'wobble' base-pairing, i.e. permitting non-standard base-pairing at the 3rd anti-codon position.
Source: RNAcentral